UCAACUUGACCCAUAUUUGAUCUAUAGGUAAAUGCCAAAAGGUUUAAAGGGUAUUUGGGGGAAUUUAGCCAAGAUAAUAUUUAAAAACCAACUAGGAAGCUUCCGGGAAAGAGAGGCUUGGCUUAAUUUCAACGAUUGGUCUUAAAAUUUGGGGUUUUAACUUAAAAGAGUAGAAUUUUGGAAGGAGUAAUGGAAAAAUUAGAAGUUAUUUCUGAUGCCCUAAAGGGAUCUCUAUAAAAGGUUUAUUUCCCUUCAUUGAAGAGAGAUUUUUUUUAGAGAAUUAUAACACUGAAAACUUUAGAAAAUGGUUGAGUUCUAAAAUAUUGAAAUCUCUUGCAAUUUUGGUGAAGAAACUGGUUUUGGUUUCUUGUUUUCUUUUUAAUCUCCAUAGUUUGAAAUAUUCAAAGCACCUCUAAUUCAUUCUAGUUUAAAAAAUGGUCCAAAAGAGUUGAAUCUUGCUGUGUUUGGAGCGAUUGGUUCACGUAUUCUGUUGCUACUACUGAGCUCUUCAUUUUUCUUGUUUUCUUUUGAUAUCCAGGUACUUCCUUUGGAUCUUACUGACUGUGAAGCUCGAUUUGAAGCUUGAAAUCGAAAAUGUGGAGUUUAAGCACAACAUCAGCUUAUCUAUUUAGAAUUUAGCCUUAUUUUCUGCACUACGUUAUUCUCUUACUAUUUGAUUCGUUUGUAUUUGGCAAGUGCUGAUUGAUAGUACCAUUCUGAGGGUUGCAUUAAGUCUCUAUAUAGCAUAUGAGUCCAGAAUUUUUGUCAAGUAUGUUGUAGCUGGACUUUGGGUAUUGUCUGUGGACUCCUAUCAUUGUAUAUCUGGUCUUGGACUGUUGUGAUAUGAACAUAACUUAGAUAGAUCAUAUUACGUUGAAUGUUGAUGUUAAGGUUCUAGGUCGAUUUCAUUAUGAUUUUGUUUGCACUAAUUUUUAUUUUUUUAAAUGACUUCAAGGCUUAUUGUUUGUUUUUUUGUAAAUGCCAAAGGCAAAAGUCUGAAGACUUUACUGUUAGAUAUUCUACUAGAAAAGCAUCAGCUUUGAAUUUUAAAUUACUUUUUGGGUUCUAUUUGGCUUUGAUGAAAUUAGUAGGAGUUCGUUUCUUCUUUAAGAUCUGGAGUUGGAUGGGUUUAAGUCCAUGUUAGUGGAUGUAUUUUUUCUAAAAUCAUGUUAGUUUUUCUAGUUGAAAUUCGAGUUCUAUUAUAUUAAAUGACAAAACAAU
This 1221-nucleotide long non-coding RNA is filed under the name Nicotiana benthamiana. RNAcentral's name for it is "long non-coding RNA (NBEN_LNC023712)". Lineage: Eukaryota; Viridiplantae; Streptophyta; Magnoliopsida; Solanales; Solanaceae. The record is from RNAcentral.